UGUCACAGAUUCCGUGCUUGUUAAGCCUGUAAAUCCCACUCCACGUGACCAACUUUGGGUUUCCAAUAUCGACUAAGUUAUAGUUUGAUUCCAAUCUGCAAUUGCUUAGGGUCCGAUGUGGGUCAGUUACUGAGAAACGCGCUUUCUAAGGUGUUAGUGGAUUCUUAUCCGCUGGCGGGCAGACUGGUAGAAUUGCUGUUGACUGUAAUGGCGAGGGCGCUGUGUUUGUGGAAGCCGUGACAGACUCAUGAAUCGAUGAUUUUGGGUAAUUCACCUCUCCUUCACAAUUCACGACUUUGGCUCCCUCUGCUACUUACGAGAAUGGCUUCACUAAAUCUCCUCUGCUUUUGAUUCAGGUAAUCAAGUUCAAAUGUGGAGGGGUGGCUAUAGGAACGGGGAUACAGCAUAUCUUAUCAGAUGGUACAUCUUCUUUACAUUUUGUGAACAGCUUGUGUGAUCUAGCUCGGGGAUUGAAGUUACAUUUACUUCCUCUUCGAGCUCGAAAUCCUCCCAGAGUGGGCUUUUCUCACCAAGAAUUUGCACCAACUCCAACCCUUCUCCACCAAGAUAAGGAUGACAGAAAAUAUUAGUCUGCAAGAAGAGGUAAAAAUGGCAUCAUUUGGAAGGUUCAAUCUUAGUGAAGAGCAAGUUAAUGCCCUAAAAUAAAAGGCAAGCGAGAACCCUCUUAAUAAGGCGUACUCCACCUACCUAAGCCUGGCAGCCCAUAUCUGAAAAUGUUGUAUCACAGCGCAAGGUUUAGCAGAAAAGCAAAGAUGCAAACUCUACAUUCCUGUGGACGGGAGACACCGUUUAUGCAGACCACCAUUGCCUCGUGGGUAUUUACCUGAAUCAUUUACAGAUCUUUAUGAUAAGGCUUCUAAGUUAAAUUUACCUGAAUCAUAAGCAGAGGAGAUGUAGUGAUACCAUUCUCAUAAGUAGCAGAGGGAACCAAAGUUGUGAGUUGUACAGUAGAGAUGAAAUACCCAAAAUCAUCGAUUGUUAGAGUCGUUCACUGCUUCCACAAACAGAGCGCUCUCGCCAUUACAUUCAACAUCAAUUCUACCAACCAGAGGUGUCAACAUCAGUCUGCCCGCCAGCCGAUAAAAAUCCACCAACACCUUAGAAAACGCGUCUUUCAGUAUUUCAGCCACAUCGGAAUCUCCAUUGGGAUAUACCUUUUGUAAAUAUAAGCAAUUGCAGAAUGGAAUCUAACAAUAACUAAAUCAAUAUUGGAAACCCACAGUUGGUGAUGUGGAGUGCAAAUCAAAUUACAGGCUUAACAAGCACCGAAUCUGUGACAGUGAUUUAUCUUUUGAAAAAUAAGGUGCACAUCUCCCUAUCUUGGUAGCUGGCAAUGGUUUUGUGUGUUGUUCUGUACAGAAGGGAGUGUGCCCACUGCAGGUUUUAUUUCCAUCGGGUUGCAGUCUGAUAAAAAAAAAAAAUCUCUUAUCUUUCUGUCCUUUUCAAACAAAACUAUUAUGCACAGAAGGAAAAGAAGAGCAAACAUUCUUUGGCAGGCAUUUAGGUAUCAUUUCAUUCCAAAAUUUAGAGAUUUUUUUGGCGGUUUUUGCAGCUGCAUUACUCGUAAGUUAUUUCCUCCCAUUUUACCCAUCUUGUGGUAGAUAUUCAAAGUCAUGGCUUCCUUCAACUUUAGAGUUUUGCUUGUAUUUUUGUUUUGUCACACUAGGUUAUAGAUCUUCUUUGAUUGUUGCCUGUAAAUUUGUAGUGGUUGUUGAUGUAAAUUUUAGAAUUUAUUGUGUCUUUGAUCAAGCUUCUCAUAAUUUACAAAUAUAUUUUUGUUCAUGGAUUGUGUUUUAAGCUACUCAAUAGAUUUUUCUUGUUGUCUUGAAUAUAUUUGAUACGAAGUCACAUUGUGGAAUCCUUUAUCAUGUCUCGUACGAAAUCACAAUAUAGAAUUCUUUGGCAUCAUCUUUGUAUCUAUGGAGUCUAGAGAUUCUAGUUGCCUUUAAUCAAUUCUUCUUCAGAUAUCAAAGUUACCAAGUUACUAGAUUCAGCAUAUAUGCACAUCUUAUCCACACUAGAUUCAUUCUAUGUAUUAUAAAUACACCAAUUUUAACUCUUCUUUUACUUCCACACCUAGAUUAGGAUCAAUAGUUAAGAUGUGUCUUCUUUUACUUCCACACCUAGAUUAGGAUCAAUAGUUAAGAUGUGUUUGAAUGUAGCAUUUAAACAGUUUGAUUUUUAUUUUUGUUUUAACAAUCACACCCAUUACCAAACAUUACUGCUACAUGUCACAAACAUUAAAAAAUAUAUUGCUAUAAAAUCAACACUUUACAUUCCACAAACAUUAGAAAUCAAAGACACACUGUUGAUGUUCACCAAAAAUCAGCAUAGGGGCACUCAAACAAAGGUAUAGGAACCCCCAAGGCAUUCGGUGAGAGAUACAAGGUCCUCUUGCUUGAUCGAAAAUGUUUUCAUUCAUUGCAAGGCUAUAUGAUUUUUUAGGUCAUAAAAAAAUAUUACUUUAAGGAAAGAUGAUUGAAGGAACUCUAGAACUUCUUUGGUUGUAUUGUUUGUUCCACAAGUGAAGAACUUAUUCAUUGUUUGUCCCACAAGUGAAGAAGAAAAAGCUCAGUGCACCCGGUUUCAAUAAAUGGGAUUUAGAGAAAACUACAAAACCAAACGCAAAAUUUCUUAUGCGUGCACCCAAUUCUCAAUGUUCAUUAGGAUUACUAUAGUGAUUUUUUUAUUACCAAUGGGUUGUUUUUUCCCUUUGUAUUUUUAAUGAUUCUGAUAUUCUUCUUUGACAAGUCACUUCCAACUAUGAUCAAUCAAAACAGAAUUUUAUUAUCUUAAUUGUUUCUGACAAUGUCUUUUUUGAAUCUUCUAAGAAGUCAUGCAUUUGUAAUCCAUGCCACCAUUAUAAGAUAUUUGCUAACUUAUGUGUCUUUGAAUGUGCCUUCUUUAAUCUUUUGAAUUUAUCUCAAUCAAGAGGAAUUCAAAUGGACUCACAGUUGGGCAUGCCUUUAAGGUUCACUCUUGCUAUGCGACGAUUCAGGAGACAAUCAUUGAAGUUUAAUGUUCAACUUUUACUGAUAAAAAUUUAUCUUCCUGAUUUCUUUUAGGAGUUCCUAUGAUAGUUGUGAUGACAAUGAAUUACUAGUCCUGCUUUUUAGUAGAAUCACAAACAUAUACACUUUUGACAUUUAUCUUUGUAAUAAAAGCAAUUUAUCAGUGAGAUAUAGCAUUAGAUUUAGUUGA
Cryptomeria japonica (Japanese cedar) is the source of this 3222-nucleotide long non-coding RNA. RefSeq lists it as uncharacterized. Lineage: Eukaryota; Viridiplantae; Streptophyta; Pinopsida; Cupressales; Cupressaceae. The record is from RefSeq and is a predicted model, not a curated record. The transcript is spliced from 2 exons.